Molecule: ribosomal RNA, 635 nt
Filed under: uncultured fungus
Lineage: Eukaryota; Fungi
Description: eukaryotic LSU rRNA
Rfam family: Eukaryotic large subunit ribosomal RNA
Source: RNAcentral
ACCCGCUGAACUUAAGCAUAUCAAUAAGCGGAGGAAAAGAAACUAACAAGGAUUCCCCUAGUAACUGCGAGUGAAGCGGGAAAAGCUCAAAUUUAAAAUCUGGUAGUCUUUGGCUGCCCGAGUUGUAAUCUAGAGAAGUGUUACCCGUGCUGGACCGUGUACAAGUCUCCUGGAAUGGAGCGUCAUAGAGGGUGAGAAUCCCGUCUCUGACACGGACUCGCAGUGCUUUUGUGGUGCGCUCUCGACGAGUCGAGUUGUUUGGGAAUGCAGCUCAAAAUGGGUGGUGAAUUCCAUCUAAAGCUAAAUAUUGGCGAGAGACCGAUAGCGAACAAGUACCGUGAGGGAAAGAUGAAAAGAACUUUGGAAAGAGAGUUAAACAGUACGUGAAAUAGUUGAAAGGGAAACGCUUGAAGUCAGUCGCGUUGUCCGGAAAUCAACCUUGGUUCUCCUGGGUGUACUUUCCGGUUAACGGGCCAGCAUCAGUUUCGAUCGGUGGAAAAAGUCCAAGGGAAUGUGGCAUCUUCGGAUGUGUUAUAGCCCUUGGUCGUAUGCGCCGGUUGGGACUGAGGAAUUCAGCACGCCGCAAGGCCGGGGUUCGCCCACGUUCGUGCUUAGGAUGCUGGCAUAAUGGCUUU